UUUGCUUUAAAUAAAAGGUCCAGCCUGCCCAGUGACACUGUUCAACGGCCGCGGUAUCCUAACCGUGCGAAGGUAGCGUAAUCACUUGUUCUUUAAAUGAGGACUAGUAUGAAAGGCACCACGAGAGUCAUACUGUCUCCUCUUUCCAAUCAGUUAAACUAAUCUCCCCGUGAAGAAGCGGGAAUAACUAUAUAAGACGAGAAGACCCUAUGGAGCUUUAAACGAAUAACACUUGCCCACACUCCUUUUAAUUUCAGAAAAAUCUUCUACCUUGGCAUCAUACUUAUAAGUUUUUGAUUGGGGUGAUCACGGAGCAAAAAAUAACCUCCGCAAUGAAAGACUCUCCAUGACUAAAUCAAGAACCACAACUCUACAUAUCAACAAAUUGACACCAAUUGACCCAAUUUAUUGAUCAAUGAAC
This 421-nucleotide ribosomal RNA is filed under the name Adenomera andreae group sp. ABGD cluster 3. Its description in RNAcentral is "partial large subunit ribosomal RNA". It matches the Rfam family "Bacterial large subunit ribosomal RNA", at positions 1835 to 2457 of the family's 2925-position model. Lineage: Eukaryota; Metazoa; Chordata; Amphibia; Anura; Leptodactylidae. The record is from RNAcentral.